AAUAGAUACCCAGGUAGUCCACGCCGUAAACGAUGAAUGCUAGGUGUUAGGGGUUUCGAUACCCUUGGUGCCGAAGUUAACACAUUAAGCAUUCCGCCUGGGGAGUACGGCCGCAAGGCUGAAACUCAAAGGAAUUGACGGGGACCCGCACAAGCAGUGGAGUAUGUGGUUUAAUUCGAAGCAACGCGAAGAACCUUACCAGGUCUUGACAUCCCCCUGACCGGUACAGAGAUGUACCUUUCCUUCGGGACAGGGGAGACAGGUGGUGCAUGGUUGUCGUCAGCUCGUGUCGUGAGAUGUUGGGUUAAGUCCCGCAACGAGCGCAACCCUUGACUUUAGUUGCCAGCAGGUAAGGCUGGGCACUCUAGAGUGACUGCCGGUGACAAACCGGAGGAAGGUGGGGAUGACGUCAAAUCAUCAUGCCCCUUAUGACCUGGGCUACACACGUACUACAAUGGCCGGUACAACGGGAAGCGAAGGAGCGAUCUGGAGCGAAUCCUUUAAAGCCGGUCUCAGUUCGGAUUGCAGGCUGCAACUCG
RNAcentral lists this ribosomal RNA (539 nucleotides) under uncultured bacterium. RNAcentral's name for it is "bacterial SSU rRNA". It matches the Rfam family "Bacterial small subunit ribosomal RNA", at positions 777 to 1314 of the family's 1533-position model. The record is from RNAcentral.